GAUGAACGCUAGCUACAGGCUUAACACAUGCAAGUCGAGGGGCAGCAUGGUCUUAGCUUGCUAAGGCCGAUGGCGACCGGCGCACGGGUGAGUAACACGUAUCCAACCUGCCGUCUACUCUUGGACAGCCUUCUGAAAGGAAGAUUAAUACAAGAUGGCAUCAUGAGUCCGCAUGUUCACAUGAUUAAAGGUAUUCCGGUAGACGAUGGGGAUGCGUUCCAUUAGAUAGUAGGCGGGGUAACGGCCCACCUAGUCUUCGAUGGAUAGGGGUUCUGAGAGGAAGGUCACCACAUUGGAACUGAGACACGGUCCAAACUCCUACGGGAGGCAGCAGUGAGGAAUAUUGGUCAAUGGGCGAGAGCCUGAACCAGCCAAGUAGCGUGAAGGAUGACUGCCCUAUGGGUUGUAAACUUCUUUUAUAAAGGAAUAAAGUCGGGUAUGGAUACCCGUUUGCAUGUACUUUAUGAAUAAGGAUCGGCUAACUCCGUG
RNAcentral lists this ribosomal RNA (489 nucleotides) under uncultured bacterium. RNAcentral's name for it is "partial 16S ribosomal RNA". It matches the Rfam family "Bacterial small subunit ribosomal RNA", at positions 28 to 507 of the family's 1533-position model. The record is from RNAcentral.